Molecule: unclassified non-coding RNA, 329 nt
Filed under: soil metagenome
Description: partial contains 5.8S ribosomal RNA, internal transcribed spacer 2, and large subunit ribosomal RNA
Rfam family: 5.8S ribosomal RNA (bases 1-120)
Source: RNAcentral
GAUGAAGAACGCAGCGAAAUGUGAUAAGUAAUGUGAAUUGCAGAAUUCAGUGAAUCAUCGAAUCUUUGAACGCACAUUGCGCCCCCUGGUAUUCCGGGGGGCAUGCCUGUCCGAGCGUCAUUACAACCCUCAAGCUCAGCUUGGUAUUGGGCCCCGCCGCUCCGGCGGGCCCUAAAGUCAGUGGCGGUGCCGUCCGGCUCCGAGCGUAGUAAUUCUUCUCGCUCUGGAGGUCCGGUCGUGUGCUCGCCAGCAACCCCCAAUUUUUUUCAGGUUGACCUCGGAUCAGGUAGGGAUACCCGCUGAACUUAAGCAUAUCAAUAAGCGGAGGA